This 693-nucleotide long non-coding RNA is filed under the name Gossypium barbadense (sea-island cotton). Its description in RNAcentral is "long non-coding RNA (GBAR_LNC016011)". The record is from RNAcentral. Lineage: Eukaryota; Viridiplantae; Streptophyta; Magnoliopsida; Malvales; Malvaceae.
CUGUCUAGUCGAGUUACAGUCACUAAAUUAUUUUUAUCUGGAGCUACAAAGCUCCAAAUUAAGAUCCGUUAAUUUUUCCUGAAACUAGACUCACAUAUCUUCUUACCAUAAAAUUUUUAGAAUUUUUAGUUUAGCAAAAUAGUACAGUUUAUUCUUUAAAGUUUCCUCUGUUUUGCUGUCUGACAGUUCCGACCACUCUUCACUAAAAAUGAAUUAUCUAAUUGUACAGAAUUCUAAGCAUAUGAAUUGUAACUCAUAAUUAUUUUUAUUCAAUUUUUGAUGAUUUUCCAAAGUCAGAACAGGGGAACCCGAAAUCAUUCUGACAUUUUCUCACAAAUUUUAUUAUAACUCAUAAUUUACAAUUCUAUUGCUUACACCGUUUCUUCUAUAAGAAACUAGACUCAAUAACCUUUAAUUUCAUAUUUUACUCAUCUUCUAAUUCGAUUCCCACGAUUUUUGGUGAUUUUUCAAAGUUGGCACACUGCUGCUGCCCAAAACUGUUUUAGUGCAACAUAUUGAUUACCAUUUUGACCCUAAACUUUUAACACAUGACAAUUUCAUCCCUAGGCUCUGAAAAUGAAAUUCUUGCAAUUUAAUCCUUGAUCCAAGCCUAAUAAUUCUCAUACAUAUCAAUAACAGCCCAUGGAUUCCAUGAAAUUUUAGAAUUUUUCCACAACUUCAAUACUUUAAAAC